Molecule: long non-coding RNA, 572 nt
Filed under: Pan troglodytes (chimpanzee)
Lineage: Eukaryota; Metazoa; Chordata; Mammalia; Primates; Hominidae
Description: long non-coding RNA NONPTRT007508
Source: RNAcentral
ACCUGAGUCAUGUUGGUCUUGGCUGUGUGAUUUGCUUUGGCCGAUGAUAAGUUGAUGGAAGUGAUAGUAAGACAAUGCUGAGCCUCAUCCUCGGAAGUAUCUCUGCCUUCACCUGGCUUUGUGCACCACUGCCCCGGCUUUGAGAAGAACAUGACCCCAGUAAAUUGUUAGUCCAGGAAGAAUGAGAGAGAAAGUCCUGAGGCAGAGAAGCGGAGAGAAGUUGCUGCUUGAGCUUGAGAAAGAAUUGUGGCAGAGUACAUGCAUGGAAGUGCUACCAUAGCUGCUCUGAAAUCAGAGGAAAGUGGAUUUAUAAGAAGACCCCAUCUGGCAAGGCUCAUAAAGGAGAGCAACUCUUAUGGAAUACAUCCAAGAUAUAUACGUCUUUGAAGAAAGACAUCACUCAACUGUGAAAGAUCACCAUGACCCCUGCUUUAAUUUCAUCAAAAAACUUAGUCCAUCAGCUCAGUUACCCUUUAGCCUUGCAUGGGAAUUGACUCAGAGCUUCUGUGAGAUCAGGGUGAAUAUGAAUUGUUUAGCUUCAGAUGAUCAUUCCUAAAGUGAAAACUCCUGGA